RNAcentral lists this ribosomal RNA (464 nucleotides) under uncultured bacterium. Its description in RNAcentral is "partial 16S ribosomal RNA". It matches the Rfam family "Bacterial small subunit ribosomal RNA", at positions 28 to 506 of the family's 1533-position model. The record is from RNAcentral.
GAUGAACGCUGGCGGCGUGCUUAACACAUGCAAGUCGAACGGAAAGGCUCCUGCUUGCAGGGGUACUCGAGUGGCGAACGGGUGAGUAACACGUGGGUGAUCUGCCCUGCACUUCGGGAUAAGCCUGGGAAACUGGGUCUAAUACCGGAUAGGACGAUGGUUUGGAUGCCAUUGUGGAAAGUUUUUCGGUGUGGGAUGAGCUCGCGGCCUAUCAGCUUGUUGGUGGGGUAAUGGCCCACCAAGGCGUCGACGGGUAGCCGGCCUGAGAGGGUGUACGGCCACAUUGGGACUGAGAUACGGCCCAGACUCCUACGGGAGGCAGCAGUGGGGAAUAUUGCACAAUGGGCGCAAGCCGGAUGCAGCGACGCCGCGUGGGGGAUGACGGCCUUCGGGUUGUAAACUCCUUUCGCUAGGGACGAAGCGCAAGUGACGGUACCUGGAGAAGAAGCACCGGCUAACUACGU